GAUUAGCUAGUUGGUGGGGUAAUGGCUCACCAAGGCGACGAUCAGUAGCGGGUCUGAGAGGAUGAUCCGUCACACUGGAACUGAGACACGGUCCAGACUCCUACGGGAGGCAGCAGUGGGGAAUUUUGGACAAUGGGGGCAACCCUGAUCCAGCCAUUCCGCGUGAGUGAAGAAGGCCUUCGGGUUGUAAAGCUCUUUCAGCUGGAACGAAACGGUAUUCACUAAUAUUGGAUGCUAAUGACGGUACCAGCAGAAGAAGCACCGGCUAACUACGUGCCAGCAGCCGCGGUAAUACGUAGGGUGCGAGCGUUAAUCGGAAUUACUGGGCGUAAAGCGUGCGCAGGCGGAUUGUUAAGCAAGAUGUGAAAUCCCCGGGCUUAACCUGGGAAUGGCAUUUUGAACUGGCAGUCUAGAGUGUGUCAGAGGGGGGUGGAAUUCCACGUGUAGCAGUGAAAUGCGUAGAUAUGUGGAGGAACACCAAUGGCGAAGGCAGCCCCCUGGGAUAACACUGACGCUCAUGUACGAAAGCGUGGGUAGCAAACAGGAUUAGAUACCCUGGUAGUCCACGCCCUAAACGAUGUCAACUGGUUGUUGGGGGAGUGAAAUCCCUUAGUAACGAAGCUAACGCGUGAAGUUGACCGCCUGGGGAGUACGGUCGCAAGAUUAAAACUCAAAGGAAUUGACGGGGACCCGCACAAGCGGUGGAUGAUGUGGAUUAAUUCGAUGCAACGCGAAAAACCUUACCUACCCUUGACAUGUCCAGAAUCCUGCAGAGAUGCGGGAGUGCCCGAAAGGGAAUUGGAACACAGGUGCUGCAUGGCUGUCGUCAGCUCGUGUCGUGAGAUGUUGGGUUAAGUCCCGCAACGAGCGCAACCCUUAUCAUUAGUUGCUACGCAAGGGCACUCUAAUGAGACUGCCGGUGACAAACCGGAGGAAGGUGGGGAUGACGUCAAGUCCUCAUGGCCCUUAUGGGUAGGGCUUCACACGUCAUACAAUGGUCGGUACAGAGGGUUGCCAAGCCGCGAGGUGGAGCCAUUCCCAAAAGCCGAUCGUAGUCCGGAUUGUUCUCUGCAACUCGAGAGCAUGAAGUCGGAAUCGCUAGUAAUCGCGGAUCAGCAUGUCGCGGUGAAUACGUUCCCGGGUCUUGUACACACCGCCCGUCACACCAUGGGAGUGGAAUCUGCCAGAAGUAGGUAGCCUAACCGCAAGGAGGGCGCUUACCACGGUGGGUUUCAUGACUGGGGUGAAGUCGUAACAAGGUA
RNAcentral lists this ribosomal RNA (1262 nucleotides) under metagenome. RNAcentral describes it as "bacterial SSU rRNA". It matches the Rfam family "Bacterial small subunit ribosomal RNA", at positions 239 to 1498 of the family's 1533-position model. The record is from RNAcentral.